This 84-nucleotide transfer RNA is filed under the name Candidatus Acetithermum autotrophicum. Its description in RNAcentral is "Candidatus Acetothermum autotrophicum tRNA-Leu". It matches the Rfam family "tRNA". From Rfam's summary of the family: Transfer RNA (tRNA) molecules are approximately 80 nucleotides in length. Their secondary structure includes four short double-helical elements and three loops (D, anti-codon, and T loops). Lineage: Bacteria; Candidatus Bipolaricaulota. The record is from RNAcentral.
GCCGGGGUGGCGGAACUGGCAGACGCCUACGGCUCAGGACCGUAGGGGAGAAAUCCCGUGAGGGUUCAAAUCCCUCCCUCGGCA